Non-coding RNA from Caenorhabditis elegans, 139 nucleotides. Lineage: Eukaryota; Metazoa; Nematoda; Chromadorea; Rhabditida; Rhabditidae. The record is from Ensembl.
AAAUGUCUGGUUGAGGACAGAUGACUAAAAUGGCCAGAAGGGCAGCUGUGUCAUUGAAUACGGUAGAAGGGAGGGGGGCACGAAGGCAUAGUAGAAUACGGAUUAGUAAACCUCAAGAAGAUUCAAGACGCUAAUGUUU